UACGGAGGAUGCGAGCGUUAUCCGGAUUUAUUGGGUUUAAAGGGUGCGUAGGCGGGCUGUUAAGUCAGCGGUAAAAGCCCGGGGCUCAACCCCGGCGAGCCGUUGAAACUGGCUGUCUUGAGAUGUCGAGAGGUAUGCGGAAUGCGCAGUGUAGCGGUGAAAUGCUUAGAUAUCGCGCAGAACCCCGAUUGCGAAGGCAGCGUACCGGCUCCACACUGACGCUGAGGCACGAAAGCGUGGGUAUCGAACAGG
This 252-nucleotide ribosomal RNA is filed under the name uncultured Bacteroidales bacterium. RNAcentral describes it as "partial 16S ribosomal RNA". It matches the Rfam family "Bacterial small subunit ribosomal RNA", at positions 524 to 776 of the family's 1533-position model. The record is from RNAcentral. Lineage: Bacteria; Pseudomonadati; Bacteroidota; Bacteroidia; Bacteroidales.